Long non-coding RNA from Symphalangus syndactylus (siamang), 2549 nucleotides. RefSeq lists it as uncharacterized. NCBI's taxonomy places the organism in Eukaryota, Metazoa, Chordata, Mammalia, Primates, Hylobatidae. The record is from RefSeq and is a predicted model, not a curated record.
ACAAGCACAUGCCACCACGCCUGGCUCAUUUUUGUAUUUUCUGUAGAGAUUGGGUCCUUUUUUUUUUUUUUUUUUUCGAGACAGAGCCUCGCUCUGUUGCCCAGGCUGGAGUGCAGUGGUGCAACCUCGGCUCACUGCAGCCUCUGCCUCGUGGGUUCAAGCGAUUCUUCUGCCUCAGCCUCCCGAGUAGCUGGGAUUAUAAGCAUGCGCCACCAUGCCCAGCUCAUUUUUGUACAGACAGGGUUUCACCAGGUUGGCCAGGCUGGUCUCCAGUCUGGCCUCGUUUUCCACCCAUCUUGGCCUCCCAAAGUACUGGGAUUAUAGGCGUGAGCCACAGCACUCAGCUCAUUUUUGUAGACAGGGUUUCACCAGGUUGGCUAGACUGGUCUCCAACUCUGGCCUCAUUUUCCACCCAUCUUGGCCUCCCAAAGUGCUGGGGUUACAGGCGUGAGCCACAGCACCCAGCUGAGACUGAGUCUCAUUUUGUUGCCCAGGAUGGUCUUGAACUCCUGAGCUCAAGCCGUCUGCCCGCCUCGGCCUCCCAAAGUACAGCACUCAAUAAAUAUUUAAAUGGCACUUAAAUAUUCAAGCAAAUUAUUGUUCUACUCACCACAUUGUAUUUACUUGGUUUUCCCAGAUUUAAUAUACCAUAUUAAUGGAGUAAAGGAAGAAACAAAACCACAUGAUCACUUCAAAACACAGAAAAAGCAUUUGACAAAAUCCAAUACCCUUUGGUGAUUAAAAGACUCAAACUAGAAAUAAAAGUGAACUUCUGACAUAGCGCAGUGGCUCAUGCCUGUAAUCCCAGGACUUUGGGAGGCCGAGGUAGGAGGAUUGCUUGAGGCCAGGAGUCUCUGUGACCGAGGGCUUCCCACACAUUUGCUUGUAUGGUUCCUAGGUUAAACCUUUUAGUGGCACCUCAUUACCAUGCAGAUAAUCCAUGCUCCAUGACAUGGAAUACAGAGCUCUCCAGUUCCUAAACUGUCCAUGCCCUAUGACUGGGCCCUCAGUCCACUGGACAGACAUUUUUUUCAAAACCAAAUUGGUGUUUCCCUUCGGAUCCUUCUCUGUCCAGCAAGUUAAGUGCUUUCUUCAGCCUUUGUGUGAAUGGUAAUGAGGUAUCACUAAAAGGUUUUAAGCCUAGGAACCAUACAACCAAAUGUGUGUUUAGGGGGCCCUCAGUCAGGCAGAGUCCUGGCCUCAACCCCACAGAAUCUUUUAGCAGGCCCUGGGCUGACUGUAAUAGGGUGCCAUCUUCUUCUUUUUUAAGACGGAGUUUCGCUCUUGUUGCCUAGGCUGGAGUGCAAUGGCACGAUCUUCGCUCACCGCAACCUCUGCCUCCUGGGAUUACAGGCAUGCACCACCACGGCCGGCUAAUUUUGUAUUUUUAGUAGAGACAGGGUUUCUCCAUGUUAGUCAGGCUAGUCUUGAACUCUCGAUGUCAGGUAAUCUGCCUGCCUUAGCCUCCCAAGGUGCUGGGAUUACAGGUGCCUGCCACCACACCCGGGUAAUUUUUUGGAUUUUUAGUAGAGACGGGGUUUCACCAGGUUGGUCUCAAACUCCUGACCUCAGGUGAUCCACCUGCCUCAGCCUCCCAAAGUGCUAGGAUUACAGAUGUGAGCCACCGCACCUGGCCUUUUUUUUUUUUUGAGACAGUCUUACUCUGUCGCCCAGGCUGAAGUGCUGUGGUGUAGUCUCAGCUCACUGCAACCUCCGCCUCCCGGGUUCAAGCAAUUCUCCCGCCUCAGCCUCCUGAGUAGCUAGAAGUAUAGAUGCAUGCCACCAUGUACCAUGCCCAGCUAGUUUUUGUAUUUUUAGUAGAGAUGGGGUUUCACUAUGUUGGCCAGGCUGGUCUCGAACUUCUGACCUUGCGAUCUGCCUGCCUUGGCCUUCCAAAGUGCUGGGAUUAUAGGCAUGGGUCACCACGCCCAGCGGCCAUCUUCCUUCUACUUAAGAGUUCCUGUUCCCAGGCCUACUAAGCAUCUCAUAGACAUCAGACAAGUCACAGGAGUCUUCAGCUUGGCAUUGGAAUUGUAGGCGUGGAUAUGGCCUCCUGGAAGGAGUACAGAAUCAGUACUACCCAGAGGCCAAAGGCUCGGAGCCAGUGAACCUGAGGGAGGCCAUGGAAGAGACAAGGACUUUCCUCUCCUGCUGACCCAAAGGCCCAUCUUCUGAAUUCUGGAACCCCCUUUUCAUCAGACAGGAUCUCGCUCUGCCAUGCAGACUGAAGUGCAGUGGUGCGAUCAUAGUUCACUGCAACCUCGAACUCCUGGCCUGAAGUGAUCCUCCUGCUUCGUUUUCCCAAACUGCUGAGAUUAUAGGUGUGAGCCACUGUGCCUGACCUGACUUGGUUCUGAUAAGCCUCUGGCCCUGGGGUCAUAUGUCUUAUUGAGACCCCGUAAAGCACAGGCCUUCGCAGCCCUUACCAAACUGGGAAAAGCAGCACUCUGUGUACUGUGUAAACGGAAGUGUGCUCAGAGCUAGACUUUACUCAUAAACCAGACAUGAGAAGGUCGCUCCUUCCCCUCACCAGGACUCUCACCUGCAGG